UAUGAAAUCAUAACCUUACAUUCUUUGUAUUAAAAGUCUUAAAAAAAAAAAAAAGUAUUAGGAUUGACAGCGGUCUGAUGGCCCCCAGUGUUGCUCACGAUGGCUUGAGCGCCAUACCAUAGCCAGUGGUUAGGCAGCUUCCACAGAAUGGUUACGGAAAGACUGCUGAAUGUUUCUGUCUUAGUAUUAUAUGCAUUGUUAGGCAAGAGCAGAGAGGAGAGAUGAAGAGAGAACUCAUUGUGCUGUUUGGUUGAUUACAAACAUCACUCACCCCCAUGGUGUUAUGAUGGGCAAUCUGUAAUGCUCUUUGAAAACGACCAAGCUUCACUUGUUAUGCAAUUUGGGGGGGAGGGGGGGGAAGGUGGAGGUAGAAAAGAUGGCCAUUGAUCAGCGAUCAUUUAGUCUGAGUUUUUUCUGCAAUAUCUGGAAUGGGUUUCCAGAAAUGGUUGAAGUUUUGUUUGUCCAGUUUUAAAAAACAUUUCAUUCAGAAGCUUUUUAGGUUCAUUCAGUACUUUUAAAAGCUGAAUUUCAGAGCUGCUAACCUAUUUUGUUAUUAGGUAGGUUGUUUAAAAGCUAGCAUUAAGUUAAGAGGUCAGGGGCAAUAUUCCAUUGCUGAGAGUAAAGGCGGGGUGUAUAUAAUUUCCCUUUUGCCUGAUGCUACCAUUGAAUGUUCCAGAUGGCACAGUUUGCAAAAAUAUAUUUGCAUCUACUACAGAUUUGGAAGAAAAUGGAUGCAGCAGUAGUGUUGCAGUUCAGCACUAUUUUUCCUUAAUGUUUUAGGAGCUUCUUUAAAAGUUUAAAAAAAAUGGUUCAAAGAACACAACUUUCUUAAAUGACAGUAAAUAUUUAGACGUUCUCUAGGACAGUUUAGCAGAUAAGAUUAUUCUAGUCCUACUUGACUAACAUUAAUUAAAAGGUGCAAUUUUAUGCCAUUGUUGAAAAUACCAAUUUUAUAAUGUAAAGAUGCAUUUUCAUUCUGAGGCAGUAUUUAUGCAGUAUUUAACCACAAUAAUAUGCUGCCAAUAGAAAUGACUCAAAAGAUGGAACUUCGUAUACAUUUAAAAUAUGCAUCCUUUAAAAUGAUGCUUUGUGUUAGCAUGCUGCAAAUCAAAAUGGCAAUUAAUAUAACAAGCUGAUCUAGGGCUAUUUAAUGAAUACAUAAAUGUUAUGCAUAUAAUGUGUAUGUUUUUACUUUUUUUUUUUUUUUUUAAAGUUGCUUCAUGUUUGCACACAGGUGUUGUCCACAUGAUUUAAAAAAAUGGAAAUUUUACUUCAUUCCUAUAGCGUGGCUUUGUAAUUCAGACAACCUUCAUCCUUUUGGUUUUGUUCCAGAUGAGAAUCGGUUCUUUGAGAAUAACUUUUUUUUAAUCUUUUUGAAAUCUCAAAAGAUUAAAUUUGAAACAAACAAAAAUGGGUUUUAUGUGUCUGUAAAUGAUACACACGCUGUAACAUAAAAUUGUCACUGUUAUGUGGGACUAUUAUUUCUAAAUGUUAUUGUAACGGGCAUACAAUAAAAAGUAUCUCUUGCACUUGAUGCUUUUAUGGAGUCUUUCUUGAUUAAUUUCUGAUGCCUGAAAAAUGUUUGCUUUCAGUUUAUUGGAAUAAUUCUUCCUUUAGGAAAUGGCUUUGUUUAUAAUUACUCUUGAGUCAAUUUUUUUUUUAAAAAGUCUUGUUUUCUAAUUUUCUUGGUUUCAAAACAAUGUAAAUUGUCAAUAAUGUGGGUCACAGUCAUCUCGCUAACUCUUGUUUCUACUGCUUAGUCAUUGUGGCACCUGACUGGAAAACCAAAGGAUCUAGAGCUCUGUGAACCGAUUUUAUGCUAACC
RNAcentral lists this long non-coding RNA (1825 nucleotides) under Sarcophilus harrisii (Tasmanian devil). RNAcentral's name for it is "lncRNA (ENSSHAG00000030985.1)". The record is from RNAcentral. Lineage: Eukaryota; Metazoa; Chordata; Mammalia; Dasyuromorphia; Dasyuridae.